UACAAGCUUCAACAAAAGAAAAUUCAAAGAACUUAGCGAAGAAGGCUUUGGUGUAUUUAACACUACCCCAACCUACAUGCUCCACUCAGAAAGCUUCAACAUACAAGCUUCAACAAAAGAAAAUUCAAAGAACUUAGCGAAGAAGACUUUGGUGUAUUUAACACAAUACGUUGAAAUGAAGGAAAACUUAUUUAUUGAUAUCCCCGAUAAGCUACA
This 216-nucleotide long non-coding RNA is filed under the name Malus domestica (apple). RNAcentral's name for it is "long non-coding RNA (MDOM_LNC007448)". Lineage: Eukaryota; Viridiplantae; Streptophyta; Magnoliopsida; Rosales; Rosaceae. The record is from RNAcentral.